GAAAGUAUUUUGUAUGGGUCUCUA
Molecule: non-coding RNA, 24 nt
Filed under: Arabidopsis thaliana (thale cress)
Lineage: Eukaryota; Viridiplantae; Streptophyta; Magnoliopsida; Brassicales; Brassicaceae
Source: RNAcentral